GGCAGAAGGUGGAGGGGAAAUGCUUCUGCACGCCUGACAAAAGCAAACUCAUUUUCAUCUGAAGGUAUUUUGCAAGUGAAUAAAGUGGCCAGCUCACGGCGGAGGGGAGGAAACUCGCUGUGCUGGAGAUUUGGGGUCCUUGGAUCACUGACCAGUGAGGUAGGAAAAAAAAAAAAAAAAAGAUGAAGAACCCUCACCACCUUUCCUCUCUCCCUCUCUCCCUCUCUCUCACUCCGGAGAACCUGCCCUAAUGCAUUUUAAUGAGCCGGUGUCGUACACUGGCUGGAUCUGCGGAGGGAUUUACGGGCAUGAAAAGAUGAAGCUUUAAACUGCAUUAUAUUCCUGCUGCUUGCCCGGUCAGAGUCGAAGCAAUUAGUUUUCCAAAUUGGCAAAAAAAAAGAUCCCGGAAAAAUGAGCUGCACGCCAACACACACACAGAAGAAGAAGAAGUAGAAGAAGAAGAAGAAGAAGAAGUGUGGCGGUAGAUUAGUCAUGGUCACGGAGAUCUGAUCCCUGUUUAGCAGCGAGCGAGAGAAAUAGCAGUGUUUCAUUUAAGCAAUCAUGGAAGUAAUGCAGCAAAAAAAAGAGGUUUCUCUCUCUCUGGCAUAUUUCUCCUCAGGAGGAGCAAAGAGACGAGGAGGAGGUGGUGGUGGUGAGGGGUGGAAGUGAAAGUGAAAUCAUAUUGGAAAUGUACUCGAGCAUGUUUAAACAGAAAUGAGAAUAUAUUAUACAGAAGCUAGACGGGUUCUACGCCGCUGCUCGGGCUCUUCCUCUCUGGUUUUUUAUUUCAUUAUGACGUCUCGACUGUUUUCAGAUUAUAUUUAGGGUCAAAUAUGAAGCAAUGGAGCUCAUGGAGACGAUGGGAAAUGUGUUUGGGACGAAGGGACGCCUCGGGGACGAAAGGGGUUCCUCGAGUCUCAAGUUAAGAUAAAAUGUGAGUCGUUAAACUCGCUAUCGAGGGGGACCGACAGGAGGAGAGCUAAUUAGCCAGUCCUGCGUUACUGGACUAAACCAAACACACAGCAGGACUUCCUCCUCCAGGAGUUCCUCCUGUGUGCUUAGCUAACGGCAACUGUAUUCGUGUGACGUUUAGCGGCAAAAUCAAGUGACGGAGCUCCAAACGUGGUCGUGGGAACGAAAUGUGUUUGGGAGUUGGAGUCGCUUUAGUCGCUGUGAGGCUUUGUUCCACCUUAUAAAGCUACGUCGUGAUUGAGUCUCGCGGUUUGUUUCGUUCACGCAGCUAACAGCUAACUGAACAAAACACACAGCAGGACUGAGAUUUCCUGCUCCGAUGAACAAGAGUUUAAUGUGACAACAUGACAGCUUUAGUUUCUUUUCUUUGCAUUUUAAUUCUGUUAAUUUUCAAACCAGGGUUACAGGAGCAUUAGCGCCACCUGCUGGCCUGGAGUGUAGCAACUCAAUUCUAUCUGUUGCCCUUAAAAAGUAAAAGAUUGUGUCUUACCGCAAAUCUUUAUGAGCAGAUUUCCCUUCCCUUCUUUCUUCAUCAUCCAUCAGUGUAUGUUUUAUAGUUUCAUUCGGUAUUUACGUUAAGAACACUAGAGAUAAAAGUACUUCAACACGUAAUACUUUGAUGAUAAUCAAGUAAAACGACAGUCCAGACACGAACUACAACAAACUUUCUGUCCUAUUCAUCGGAACAACUUUGCUCUUUCUUUUUUUUUUCCACUCGACAGCCCUUUGACUCUCCUUAAUCUUCCUGACAGAGUAAUUUGGUGUGUUAUACAGCUCUAAAAAUACAGAUGAAGGGCUGUUGUCACCCGCCGAGCCAGAUGGUCAAAAGGUCAUUCUUCUUCCCCGGCUGCCCUCCCCGUCGUCUUUGUCUCUUUGAGGACCUGACUGGUUAGCGCCCCGGCCAAUCUGUCAGCGAAUGCUUGACUGGACCCCCAGAAAAAAAAA
Long non-coding RNA from Acanthopagrus latus (yellowfin seabream), 1917 nucleotides. RefSeq lists it as uncharacterized. The record is from RefSeq and is a predicted model, not a curated record. The transcript has 2 exons. NCBI's taxonomy places the organism in Eukaryota, Metazoa, Chordata, Actinopteri, Spariformes, Sparidae.